This 2015-nucleotide unclassified non-coding RNA is filed under the name Leishmania donovani. RNAcentral describes it as "gene:LdHU3.31.0770(CDS-product:CCCH_zinc_finger_i n_TRM13_protein/U11-48K-like_CHHC_zinc_finger/Methyltransfe rase_TRM13_putative)". Lineage: Eukaryota; Euglenozoa; Kinetoplastea; Trypanosomatida; Trypanosomatidae. The record is from RNAcentral.
UGCAUUCCGGAACGAAGGCAGGCUCUCACGGUGAGCCUGAGGCGUGUUAUCUUCCCUGUGGUACGCUUUCGGACGCCGUCGAUGUCUCUCGCAGCAGAGCAAACAGAGGCAGGCGCCCCUGCACGCAAGGCAUCGAAGGUGGAGCCGCCGACGCGCAACCCGGAUCCACACUUCUGCAGCUACUAUGUGACGCGCAAGCACAGAUUCUGCCGCACCGAGUGCAGGCCUGGAUCGCUAUACUGCUGCACACACGACAUCGCGGAGACAGGUGCAUCUCCCUCCACUACACCACAAGCAGAGAAAGAUGCGACAUCAUCACCGUCGGACGUUGCUGGCUUCAGGGGGGAUAUGCGAGUCCCUUGCCCCAUCAACUCCAAUCACACCGUCUACGCGUCGCGGCUUGAGAGACACGUUAAGGUGUGUCCGGACCUGCGCUACGUGACACACCAGCUGCCCUACUUUAGCAAUGACAAACACGCGAAUCGCGGAGCCGUGUUUGUUUCGAGUGCGUGCAAUGCACCUCCAGGAGGGGAGAGCCAGCGGUGCACCCAUCGCGAUUUCUCUGCAGAGGGUCUGGCAGCUCUUAUUCGCAAGGUGCAUGAAUGCUACGACUCAUGUAUCGCCCCUGACUUAGUCGUCUUGCGGCAACCGUCUAGGGACCGUGAUGCAGCUUCAGGAGAGGUGGGUGACACGACGACGUCGCAGGCUACGACGUCCUGUCGCGGUUCUGCGCCCGUAGCCUGUGAAGAGAUUGCGUCGCUGAAGCACGGGCCGCAGUACAUGGGGCUAAUUCGCUGCCUAAGCGAUGUGGUUCGGCAGGCUCAGGACACCGACUCGAUCCUCGUGGGCCGCUGCAGCAGCCACUGCGCACCAAUUCACGUAGAUGGUUUCUUGGAGUUCGGCGCCGGCAAGGGUGGCCUCUCCGCGGCGUUGCAGCAGCUCAUUGUUCAGCGCCUCCAAGGCAUUGACUGCACCACCACCUCUGUCGGUGAAGACGCGGAGGCAGGGACGGUUCCUCCGAGCCAGCGUGAAGCAACCGCGGAGACUUCACCCUUGACGCCAUCAACACCGCAGUCGUCGUGGAGGUCGGGCUUUCUUGCGGAGGUAGCACAGCGGCCGCCGCUCGUGGUACUCGAUAUGAACGGCUUCCGGCGUAAGAGCGACGCGCGGGUGCGGCACUCUGCUGUUCCUUUGCAGCGCCUUCGCAUCAACAUCAAGGACGUGGACUUGACUCGAGCUUUUCUCUCUGAGAUUCGCCCAGUGCCGAGCGGGGAGGGGGAGACGGCUGCAGCUGCGGUGCCGAGUGCCAUCCCGCGACCCUUGGAGAACUGGGCUGUGCUCGGCAAACACCUUUGCGGCGCUUGCACAGACUUCGCGUUGUCCUGCCUCACAGAAAGCCCCUUACUCACAUCGCAGGCGCAGGUGCGGCUGCCCAUUGUGGUGAUAGCGACCUGCUGCCACCACCGGUGCGAGCUCAAACAUGUGAACCCACCCGAGCGAGUGGAAGUGUCACCUGCGCCGCUUGUGCUACCCGGCACCUCCUUCACCUGGUCCGAGCAGGAGUUUGCGGCGCUGGCCAGCAUGUCCUCGUGGGCAGUGUGCGGCGACUUUGUCGACGAGGAGAGGCGCGCGGUGGGGCGUAAAUGCAAGCGCAUCAUUGACCAGCUUCGCGUGCACUUUCUGCGUUACCUCGGCUACGUGGCUUUCCAAUGCCAGUACACGACACGCGACGUGACGGAGGAGAAUGUCUGUAUUGUAGCCUUUCACGCUUCAUGAGGGAGGAGUGGAAGGGGGCAGAGGUCGACGUGUUUGUCGCGUCUGGCUAACGGUAGCGUCUGGGCGUGCGUGUUGGCGUGUGCGACCGUCUUCCCCAUCGAACGCCGACUCGGCUAUGUUUUCUUCCGGUUUUGUUUACCGCCGCUGCUGGGGCACGGUGAGCGAAAGACGAGACGGAGCUGUCCACCGUCCACAUCGCCUCUUUCGGCACCGCUCUUGACGCCCUAAUGGAGAAGCCG